Molecule: ribosomal RNA, 402 nt
Filed under: uncultured bacterium
Lineage: Bacteria
Description: bacterial SSU rRNA
Rfam family: Bacterial small subunit ribosomal RNA
Source: RNAcentral
GCACCGGCCAACUACGUGCCAGCAGCCGCGGUAAUACGUAGGGUGCAAGCGUUGUCCGGAAUUAUUGGCGUAAAGAGCUCGUAGGCGGUCUGUCGCGUCGGCUGUGAAAACCCGAGGCUCAACCUCGGGCCUGCAGUCGAUACGGGCAAACUAGAGUACUGCAGGGGAGACUGGAAUUCCUGGUGUAGCGGUGAAAUGCGCAGAUAUCAGGAGGAACACCGGUGGCGAAGGCGGGUCUCUGGGCAGUAACUGACGCUGAGGAGCGAAAGCGUGGGGAGCGAACAGGAUUAGAUACCCUGGUAGUCCACGCCGUAAACGUUGGGCGCUAGAUGUGGGGCUCAUUCCACGAGUUCCGUGUCGCAGCUAACGCAUUAAGCGCCCCGCCUGGGGAGUACGGCCGCA